Molecule: ribosomal RNA, 274 nt
Filed under: uncultured bacterium
Lineage: Bacteria
Description: partial 16S ribosomal RNA
Rfam family: Bacterial small subunit ribosomal RNA
Source: RNAcentral
AUACGAGGGGUCCUAGCGUUGUUCGGAAUCAUUGGGCGUAAAGCGGGUGUAGGUGGACUAUUAAGUCAGAAGUGAAAGCCCUGGGCUCAACCCAGGAAGUGCUUUUGAUACUGGUAGUCUUGAGUGUGCGAGAGGAUAGCGGAAUUCCUGGUGUAGUGGUGAAAUACGUAGAUAUCAGGAGGAACAUCGGUGGGGAAGCCGGCUGUCUGGCCUAACACUGACACUCAGACCCGAAAGCGUGGGGAUCAAACAGAAGUAGAUACCCUAGUAGUCC